GUUAUCUAGAAAACCAUAGAAGAAGUUGGUCAUGUGACCACAUAUUUUUGAAGAGGCAUCCAUUUCAAUCAUCCUGCAAAGAAGGGAGACACAUGGCUUGAGAGACCAAAAUCCAUCAUGCCACGCAAAUACAAAAGGAAGACAGACAGGGUUUCAACUCCUCUUGAGGAGUUGGAAAGAGCAGUGAAAGAGGUGCAACAGGGGAAGACCAUACGUCAGGUUGGAAAGGAGAUGAAGAUCUGCAGGAUGACCAUAAAAAGAUAUAUGGAUAA
Long non-coding RNA from Gymnodraco acuticeps, 272 nucleotides. RefSeq lists it as uncharacterized. NCBI's taxonomy places the organism in Eukaryota, Metazoa, Chordata, Actinopteri, Perciformes, Bathydraconidae. The transcript has 2 exons. The record is from RefSeq and is a predicted model, not a curated record.